RNAcentral lists this ribosomal RNA (300 nucleotides) under uncultured Rhizobium sp. RNAcentral's name for it is "bacterial SSU rRNA". It matches the Rfam family "Bacterial small subunit ribosomal RNA", at positions 496 to 795 of the family's 1533-position model. Lineage: Bacteria; Pseudomonadati; Pseudomonadota; Alphaproteobacteria; Hyphomicrobiales; Rhizobiaceae. The record is from RNAcentral.
CGUAGCUCGUGUGCAGGAGCCGGGGAAGUGAAGAGGGGGGAAGCGUUUUUCGGAAUGUUUGGGCGUAAAGGGCGCGUAGGCGGUUUCUGAAGUCGGAUGUGCAAUCCCCGGGCUCAACCCGGGAACUGCAUCCGAGACUGGGAGGAUAGAGUACUGGAGAGGUUGGUGGAAUUCCUCGUGUAGCGGUGAAAUGCGUAGAGAUGAGGAGGAACACCAGUGGCGAAGGCGGCCAACUGGACAGUAACUGACGCUGAGGCGCGAAAGCGUGGGUAGCAGACAGGAUUAGAUACCCCUGUAGUC